This 427-nucleotide ribosomal RNA is filed under the name uncultured Oscillospiraceae bacterium. RNAcentral describes it as "bacterial SSU rRNA". It matches the Rfam family "Bacterial small subunit ribosomal RNA", at positions 354 to 794 of the family's 1533-position model. Lineage: Bacteria; Bacillati; Bacillota; Clostridia; Eubacteriales; Oscillospiraceae. The record is from RNAcentral.
UGGGGGGAUAUUGCGGCAAUGGGGGCAACCCUGACGCAGCAACGCCGCGUGAAGGAAGACGGUUUUUCGGAUUGUAAACUUCUUUUAUUAAGGACGAACAGUGACGGUACUUAAUGAAUAAGCUCCGGCUAACUACGUGCCAGCAGCCGCGGUAAUACGUAGGGAGCAAGCGUUAUCCGGAUUUACUGGGUGUAAAGGGUGCGUAGGCGGCUUGAUAAGUCAGAUGUGAAAUGUAUGGGCUCAACCCAUGAACUGCAUUUGAAACUAUUGAGCUUGAGUGAAGUAGAGGUAGGCGGAAUUCCCUGUGUAGCGGUGAAAUGCGUAGAGAUAGGGAGGAACACCAGUGGCGAAGGCGGCCUACUGGGCGAUAACUGACGCUGAGGCGCGAAAGCGUGGGGAGCAAACAGGGAUUAGAUACCCUGGUAGU